UGGGGAAUUUUGGACAAUGGGCGAAAGCCUGAUCCAGCAAUGCCGCGUGUGUGAAGAAGGCCUUCGGGUUGUAAAGCACUUUUGUCCGGAAAGAAAUCCUUGGCUCUAAUACAGUCGGUGGAUGACGGUACCGGAAGAAUAAGCACCGGCUAACUACGUGCCAGCAGCCGCGGUAAUACGUAGGGUGCAAGCGUUAAUCGGAAUUACUGGGCGUAAAGCGUGCGCAGGCGGUUUGCUAAGACCGAUGUGAAAUCCCGGGCUCAACCUGGGAACUGCAUUGGUGACUGGCAGGCUGGAGUAUGGCAGAGGGGGGUAGAAUUCCACGUGUAGCAGUGAAAUGCGUAGAGAUGUGGAGGAAUACCGAUGGCGAAGGCAGCCCCCUGGGCCAAUACUGACGCUCAUGCACGAAA
RNAcentral lists this ribosomal RNA (410 nucleotides) under uncultured bacterium. RNAcentral describes it as "partial 16S ribosomal RNA". It matches the Rfam family "Bacterial small subunit ribosomal RNA", at positions 355 to 758 of the family's 1533-position model. The record is from RNAcentral.